AUUGAACGCUGGCGGAAUGCUUUACACAUGCAAGUCGAACGGCAGCACGGACUUCGGUCUGGCGGCGAGUGGCGAACGGGUGAGUAAUGUAUCGGAACGUGCCCAGUCGUGGGGGAUAACGUAGUGAAAAUUACGCUAAUACCGCAUACGAUCUAUGGAUGAAAGCGGGGGAUCGCAAGACCUCGCGCGAUUGGAGCGGCCGAUAUCAGAUUAGGUAGUUGGUGGGGUAAAGGCCCACCAAGCCAACGAUCUGUAGCUGUUCUGAGCGGACGGCCCGCCACACUGGGACUGAGACACGGUCCAGACUCCUACGGGAGGCAGCAGGGGGGAAUUUUGGACAAUGGGCGGAAGCCUGAUCCAGCCAUUCCGCGUGCAGGAUGAAGGCCCUCGGGUUGUAAGCUGCUUUUGUACGGAACAAAAAGGUUUCUACUAAUACUAGGAGCUCAUGACGGUACUGUAAGAAUAAGCACCGGCUAACUACGUGCCAGCCGCCGCAGUAA
Molecule: ribosomal RNA, 500 nt
Filed under: uncultured bacterium
Lineage: Bacteria
Description: partial 16S ribosomal RNA
Rfam family: Bacterial small subunit ribosomal RNA
Source: RNAcentral